Sus scrofa (pig) is the source of this 4408-nucleotide long non-coding RNA. RefSeq lists it as uncharacterized. Lineage: Eukaryota; Metazoa; Chordata; Mammalia; Artiodactyla; Suidae. The record is from RefSeq and is a predicted model, not a curated record.
UAAACUUUUUGUGAUGUACAGUCCCAACUGGGGCUAAACUCUGUCAUUGUAUUAUGGGAACAGUGAAUCCAUAAAUACAUAAACUGAUGGGCUUGGCUGUGUUCCAUUCAAAUUUCAUUUAUUAGCAGUGCUCAUUGACAUGUAGGUCAUUGUUUGCUGACCCUGAUUCAAAUAAACUUUUUUUUUUUUUAGAGAAAUUCUGCCUCUUGGAACCACAUGACUGAUCUGGAGAUUGAUUCUAUAUAGUUUUCAAGAUUUCUGAUGUAUCUGCUGUUUUCUGGUCAGUUGAUUUGAGAUUUCAAAAACUUUCUGCUAGUGUAUUUCAGAAAAAUCAAGGGCUGAGAUAAUGCUAAAAGAAACUUGACAGAAAAGAGGCCAUAUUUAAAAUGUCUUGUAAAAUCCCUUCUAACCCCUUAAAAAGGGGUUUUAGAGCAAAGCUGAGUUAAGAAUAGGGAGAUCGUUUGGGUAAAAAUAACCACAAACUAUACCUAAGAGUUUGAAGACAUGAUCUAAAAUAGCUCAGUUUUGAAAGUUUUCUUUUAAAUUCACUGUCAUAAGUCUACGUGUUUGGUAACUGACAUACAUUUUACUUUAUAAUUCAUUGCAUCUUCAUGUGUGACAACUUUGUGUUUUUGUAUGUAGCCAAGUUUUCCAUUGCUCAAGAUUCCCUAGAUUUUAGAGAGAAACAGAGCGAACUCAAAAUUCUAAAAUUGCAUCACUAUAGACAUUUUCUAAAAGGCUUCAGACAGAAAACACACUUCUUGGCAGAAAUAUGCUUGAAGCUGGGAGGUGAUGUCCCAAGAGCCCACAUUAACUUAGCUCUGUUGAGGAAGCUGGUCCUUAGAAACAUCAAGAAGAGAGAAGGACUUGGCAUCAACUUUGCCGAAUCAUAAACUCUGCUUUUUACAAUUAUUCCUUUUACAUCCCUAAUGGGUUUUUUCAGUGCUACAUUUUCGAGGUCCCGGUUUCAGGUCACUGAAAAGGCUCUGUAACUCUGAAACACAUUUCCAAGAUACAGAAAUAGUUUCGGACCAGAGUUUUUAUGUGUGAUUAACCUUUGUAGGGCACAUUCGCCUUUAUGGACCUAUCAAAGAGAGGCUGAGUGAAAUUAUAUAUUUAUUAACUGCUUUCUUCAAUUCUUUCUUUCAGGAACUUAUUUAUCAAACAGGAUUUAAUAAAUCAGUCUUUUUACGUAAUCAACAAAUAUAGUGAUGCCUUUCCUACUCCCCAAAAAUAGUCAUUGUUGAGAGAGGAGGCAUACAAAGGAUACACAGUUCUGGUCCCUGUCUGUUGUAGAAUAUUGAAACUCAUCCCUUAUUGUCCCAAAAAAAGAGAGAGAGGGAGCACUUAGUCUUAUUGGGGGCAAUCGGGAAAGUUGAGGAAUAGAGAAUCAAGUGCAUAAAACUAAGAGUGUUCUGAACUGAGAAUUCAAUACAUGUUAGCUAUUAAAACUUUAUUAAGACUAUAAUUUUAUUCAUUAUUGUUAUUAAUAAUGGAUUUACUCGAAUGACAUAUUGGGAAAGGACUCUUUCUCAUAAGGAAAAGAAAAAUAAAAGAAAAUAUAUGCAAAAAUAAUGUGGCUUUAAUGUCAAAACCAUUGUAUAUUUAACAUUUUGAAAUUGUCUGAAGCAAGCACGUAAAUUGAUAAAGAAGAAAUAGCCCAUUAUUCAACUUUCUCCUCUGCUGAAUUUUAAGCUAUGAAACAGCUAUAACAGAAAACUACUCUUCUAUGCGUUCACUAAAAACUCAUGAAAUGUGUAUUCAUUAGCAGCAAGAUAGGAGAAUAUAAGCAUGGGAAAGAAGCACAUGCAUUUACACCCAUGCAUACAUACACUCACACAGACAUUAGAGUCGUUCAAUUGAAAGGAAGUCAAAUCUUAUUUUUUGAUGAAAAUAUGGAGCCCCAAAAUAAAGCUAAAAUAUUAUAAAUACAUACAAAAACACAAAGCUGUCACACAGGAAGAUGCAAUGAAUUUUGAAGUAAAAUGUAUGAGCCAGUUACCAAACAUGUAGACUUACGUCAGUGAAUUUAAAAGGAAACUUUCAAAACUGAGCUGCUUUUAUAUCAUGGCUUCAAAUAUUUUAAGAAAAUUAAAAUAUUUUAAAUUGAAAACUUGAAUAGUUGGAAUUAGAACAGACAACAAUUUGAUGAUAUUCUACUCCUUUAGGCUUAUAUUUCUAUUCCAAAAAUGUCUUAGGACUGGAACUCAAUGACAAACGGAUAAAUCUAAUAGAGUGUGGCUUGAUCCAAGGAAAAUAUGGCUAAAUAACACAGUGUCUGUGCCAAAUGCUUAAAGGAAGCUUAUAAAACAAAUGCUUGAAAAUAUAGGACAUUUCCUAUAGCCCUGAAACAGCUGAGCAAAAAUUUCCAGAUAUCAAAUAAAAUAACAAUAAAAGUCAUUUGUUUGGCAAACAUGUUUGUAGUCAUGUUUUUUGGAUCAAAUGAAUAAAAAGAAAAAUACACAUAUUGGUUUCACUGGCUACAGAGUUUAAAUGCUUAAUGAAUUUUAACUAAUCAAUUAAAACAUGGAAAGUAAAGAUCAUCAACUCCAGGUAGGCAAUCUAUCUAAAUUCUACACUAAAUUUUCCAUUUUGUGACAUGGUAGGAAGGCAUGAAAUGAAAUGAUGAUGGACUUCAUGGGUGCAUGCUAGUAAACAGCCAAUCAAAGAACCAUAAAGAAACUAAUGGAGAGUUCAAACCACUAGCAUUAGAUCUACAGUCUGAGAUUGGCAUUUUUUUUACAGACUCUAUGUCUGAUUAAAAACUCCUUCUUCGGGAGUUCCCAUGUGGCUCAACGGUUAAGAACCCAAGUAGUAUCCUUGAGGAUGCAGGUUCGAUCCCUGGCCUUGUUAAGGAACCAACGUGGCCAGGAGCUGUGUUGUAGGUCACAGACGUGGCUGGGAUUUCACAUCGCUGUGGCUAUCCCUUAGGCCAGUGGCUGCAGCUCUGAUUGGACCCCUAGCCUGGGGACCUCCCUGUGCCAUGGGUGUGGCCCUAAAAAGAAAAAAAACCAAACAAACAAAACAAACAAAAACCUUUUUCUUUCUUGCUUCUACUGUGUGCCCAAUUCUGAGAAUUAUCACUUUGAUCCAGGUGAUGCUAAUUCUCUGCUAAGGACUUGGCUUUUUCAUUGCUUAAUGGUUACCAUAGAAAUAUUUCACUCUGGGAGAGAUGGGAUUAAGAUGGCGGCGUAGAAGGACUGGAACGCAACUUCUCUCCUAAAAACAACAAAAUUCACAACUAAAGCCUGAGCAAUCUUCACCCAAAUGGACCGGAAACCUUAAAAAAGAUAUCCUACUCCAGAAGAAAAAGAGGAGGCCACUUCAACAGAGUCGGAUGUAUCUUAUUUUAUAUCCUGGAAAAAAAAUGGCAUUACAGCUGGUUUCUAUCUAAUAGAGAGUUUGUAGGAGUUCAUAUUUCUCCUUGUGGCAGAAGAGAAAGAAUAGAAGCUCUCUGACCUAUUUUGCCAGCAAUGAUUGGUUUUUCAAACCUGGAGAUCAUGAAACCCUGGUGUGAGGUCCAGCCUGGAGUGUCAUGUGUGAGUAUCCAAGCUGCUCAUUCAUUAGCAGCUGAAGUUUUCUCUACAUUGGCCCACUCUUGUCUCACCAAUGAGGUGGCAGGUUUCAAAGGCCAGUAAUAAGAAACAGUAAUUUUGUAGUCAUUUUGUAAACAGUUUCACAACACUUCACACAGAUAAAGACAGAAGUCAGACACAUUAAAAUGUCAGGAGAGUGUGGAAGUGCCAAUAACCAGAUAGUUCCUUUUUAACUUGGAAGCUAGUAUUCAUUCUCAUACCAAAAACAUCUCCAGUUUUUGAAGUACCUUUAGUGAAUUACCAAUAUAAUUCUAUCUCUUGGUGAGCACCCAUCUGUCACAGAAAAUCCAUACUCACACUUCUGUAAAGCUCUACAAUCUGCAUUUGGAAGAAGACAGUCAGCUAUUCCAAAGAAACCAUGAGGAGGUUUCGAUAAUAACAGUAAUCUGAUAUUUUGAAACCCUAGGCCAAUUUUCAGUCUUCCACCCUACAGUAAAAUUAGAGCUGGCCCCUGGUAAUAAACUGAUCUUUCUUUGACCAUAUUUCAUAUAGAUAACGACUGAUUCAAGCACAGAAACUAGGCCUCGUUAAUUGUGUGUCCACAACCCUAACAUCAGUGUUUAACACGGCAUAGGUCUUUAAUUAUGGUUGAAUUGAACUGCGUUUGCUAACCCUCAGCACCAAACAUGAUUUUUCAACUUGGAUAAUUUAGAACACCUUUGCAUUCUGUAGUUGCACUUCAUCUAGACAGCAAAACUUUAUUUAGGAGACAGAGAAUAAAUUAUACUGAAGCUUUCUAUCAAGUGGAAUUGAAUUUGCUUCACAAAAUCAUUAUUUUUUAAUCUGAGAAUUCCACAAAGAGUGACCCUAAU